RNAcentral lists this ribosomal RNA (532 nucleotides) under fungal endophyte sp. P1717C. RNAcentral describes it as "eukaryotic LSU rRNA". The stretch from base 164 to 317 matches the Rfam family "5.8S ribosomal RNA". Lineage: Eukaryota; Fungi. The record is from RNAcentral.
GCGGAGGGAUCAUUACCGAGUUUACAACUCCCAAACCCCUGUGAACAUACCAAUUGUUGCCUCGGCGGAUCAGCCCGCUCCCGGUAAAACGGGACGGCCCGCCAGAGGACCCCUAAACUCUGUUUCUAUAUGUAACUUCUGAGUAAAACCAUAAAUAAAUCAAAACUUUCAACAACGGAUCUCUUGGUUCUGGCAUCGAUGAAGAACGCAGCAAAAUGCGAUAAGUAAUGUGAAUUGCAGAAUUCAGUGAAUCAUCGAAUCUUUGAACGCACAUUGCGCCCGCCAGUAUUCUGGCGGGCAUGCCUGUUCGAGCGUCAUUUCAACCCUCAAGCCCAGCUUGGUGUUGGGACUCGCGAGUCAAAUCGCGUUCCCCAAAUUGAUUGGCGGUCACGUCGAGCUUCCAUAGCGUAGUAGUAAAACCCUCGUUACUGGUAAUCGUCGCGGCCACGCCGUUAAACCCCAACUUCUGAAUGUUGACCUCGGAUCAGGUAGGAAUACCCGCUGAACUUAAGCAUAUCAAUAAGCCGGGAGG